This 1339-nucleotide long non-coding RNA is filed under the name Oryctolagus cuniculus (rabbit). RNAcentral describes it as "lncRNA (ENSOCUG00000035540.1)". The record is from RNAcentral. Lineage: Eukaryota; Metazoa; Chordata; Mammalia; Lagomorpha; Leporidae.
UUUCUUGUUUCACCUAGCAACAAAACAUCUCGUGUCAUCUGAUUUCUUAUGUUGAAAUAUCUUUGCAUUUCUGGAAUACAUUGGGUUUUUAGAGUGUGAUGUGUAUGACUUGGUGUGGUAUAUUGUACUUUUAGCAUGUAGCUGAAUUUAAUUUGCUCACAUUAUAUUUUGCAUUUUGAGUCUACUUUUACAGUAAGGUUUAUACAUGGCUUUCUUUUUGUAGUUUAUAAUUAAGGUUUUCUGGCUGUAAAAAUCUAUUGGGAAUUUUGAAAUUUAUCAUUACCAUUUGUAACAGUUUUGAUAGGAUAUAAAUAAUACAUUCUCAAAGAUUUUUCUAGAAUCUCCAUAAAGACACCUGGAUCCAUGGGCAUUACUAUUAACAACUUUUUACAUUGUAUAGUAUAAUUCAUUAACAACUUUCUAUGCCGAUUUUAGUACUACUGUCUACUUAGGUUUUCUACUUCAUCUGGUGUUAGAUUUGAUAACUUAGUUUGCCUAAAAUAUUAGCAACAAUUUCAAGAUAUUUUGCAAAGAGUUAUAUAUUUUAUCAUAAAAAAAACCCAAGACUGUGAAUCAGGCUCAAGUUGAGGAGAAAUAGCCAGCCCUUACGGGUUUGGUACAGACCUCACUCUCUGAGUUUGAGAAUAAAGUAAGGUUAUAAUAGAAAAUCUCUUUCUAACUUUUAUCAGAAACAAUUUUCAUGAAGUAAACUGAGAAUGUCAUCUGCUCAAUUCUGAUUACAUUUUCCCUAACUGAGGGGGUAAUGGAAAACAUCACAUUUAAUCCUUUGUCUAAAAGGGCUCACAUGCUGGGUGCGAUUUUCCUGGGUGAUGAAGAAUACAACGUGUGGACUGCAGCUCAGAGAGUCCACAAGCAAGACCAGCACAGUAUCUCAGCCGCAUCAGUCCAUGCAGUCUUCUGGAGAUUGCAAUGGAGAAUCCACUACCACACAUCUGUCCUCACCUGAGAGGGCCCUGGAAGUAGGACAUGGAGGAAGACGGACACAGUUCAGGCAGUAAAGCUUGGGUGUACACCAAGAAGGGUGCCUGGGCUCUUGUUUUCAGAUCUGUAGAGCAAGACAAACAGAACUACCUAUGGAGGAGAAGAAAGGAGUCUGAAAAGCUAUCUGGGUUUAAAAAUCAAAGUCACCCAGGAACUUAGUGUUGCAGGUAAGGCUGAAAACAGUCUUCCUCCUUCUCUUCUUUUUGUUUCUCUAGCGUUUCACAGCAUCUGCAAUUUUAUUUCCUGCUGAGCUAGAUGACGAAUUUACAAAGAAAAACAGAUAGUUCUACAAAUUGUCAAAUAUUAUGCAUUAUGAUAGUUUUAAUGACUUCGUGAC